RNAcentral lists this long non-coding RNA (1902 nucleotides) under Medicago truncatula (barrel medic). RNAcentral describes it as "long non-coding RNA (MTRU_LNC007659)". Lineage: Eukaryota; Viridiplantae; Streptophyta; Magnoliopsida; Fabales; Fabaceae. The record is from RNAcentral.
UCAAAUCAAUAUUAGAAACCAAAAUUUAAAUCCAAAAUAAGCUUCUAAGAAGUACAAAAUAAUGUCAGUGUAAACGCUUAAAUCCUUAAAAAUGAAAGAGUAUGAAACUUACUUUUUGAAGAUCUUUGUAACUAAAAUUACUACAGAAAUAGUGUCAUCUCCAAGUCAUCUGAAAUGAGACAAUGGGUAUUUCAAGGACUUAAUUAUAGAACAUUUAUCAACAUAUAUUUAACUUUUGUAUCUAUGUUGUGUGGAAGCAAGAGAGAGAAAAAAUGUUUCAGAAAAAUGUCUCAGUUGUCUGAUAUGUCUCGUAUGAGUGUUAUAUAGGUGUCGGACACCGGUGUAAGGAGUGUCGGAGUAAAGAAAAAACAAUUGUAUUUAGGACUAAUAUUGGUCUCCAAAGUAUGCACGACAGCGAGUGGUGAUAUCGCUGCAAGAUGCAAACAAAUAACACACACACAAGCACACACAAUCAACUUGAUUAUUAAUAAAAACAUAACUAAUAAUAGAUUUAGCUCCCUUACAAAACCCACACAAAGGUUACAAGAAUAGUUCCAAUAGCAAAUUCAACUACAAUCACAGUCACAAGGAAAAGACAAACCUUCAAAACCUACAACGAAAAUCACACCAAGUUCAAAACCCUAAAUGCUCCUAUUCAAAAUUUUCAUCACUGCUGCAUACAAUGUUUCACAAUGCAAACAAGCAUCAUAAAAUAAUAAAAUAAAAUAAACAAAACAAUAAUUACACAAAAUAACAUUAAGAAAUGGAUCUUAUGAAAAGAAUAGGAGUAAAGGGAGUGAUAAGUACCAAUUUAUUGUACAUAUUGAAGUAGAUUAUGAAGAGGUAACAUAAUCCGAAUUCGCCGCCCUCGAACCAACACUACUGGCAGAUCAGAAAAUCGACACAAGUGAACCCCCAAUUGACUCCAAAUGAUGAAACACCACAAGCAAUGCUAGAUCACUCCCACCCUAAAACAGAACAGAGACAACAAAACAACACAAAUCUGAUCCACUACUGCAGAAUUCUGCAUGUUGUUUCACUCCAAACAUCCCUGCAACGUUAGCAGAACACACCAGAUGCACAAACUGAAGACCAAUUCCAAGCAGCCACAACUACACUACCGAAACGUGGAAGGAAAGGAAAAAUAUUUACCUUUUUCUCAAUGAUUGUGUUCACCACUAGCCUCACAUAGAAUUCGAUUAAUACAUUAAAUCAAAUCAUUUUAAAUGACAUGUACACACAAUUAUCAAUUCAUGUAUACAUUAGAGUUUCAAGGCAUCCCAAUAUCCAUUUGGUACAAUGUUAAAACACUACAACCUUCACAAUUGUAUUGAUAAGAUAAUCAGAACGCCACUCUUUAGAAUAUUUAGCAAUACACAACUUAAAAUAAUUUCAGAAAAAUCACAUUUCUUCUAAGUUCAAAAGAUGGAAAGAAUUUAGUAAAAUCAAAUGACCUAAAUCUUAUCCUCAGAAUUCAAAAGAGGGAAAAACCUAACUAUGAGACAACACGAAAUUAGGAACAAAGGGUUUUUCAGAUUAUCUUUCCAUUUCAAUUUACAAAUCCACUUCCUAGUUUUCAUGUUUUUCUCCAAAUUAGGUAUUAUAAUAAGAGAAUUAGAUAAUAACGAUUAAGCCAACGACAAAGGAAGUAAAGUAUGGUGAUUACCCAAAAUUUUCCAGAGAGUAAAGCUUGAAGAUGAACGCGCACAAAGGAGCCCUUUUGUUUCAGAAACCCUUAAUUAUGUUUGUAGGGUUCAAUCGAUUUAGCUUUUAGGUGUUCUGUCUACGAUGGUGAUUUUGUGAGUGAGUAUGGUACGAUGGAAGAAGGCUUCAGGUGAGUGAGUUAGUGGGUUGGAAGAAGAACUUUGAGUGCGUGAGUGAGUUACAAAAUGGAAAAUUGUG